This 306-nucleotide long non-coding RNA is filed under the name Hordeum vulgare. Its description in RNAcentral is "long non-coding RNA (HVUL_LNC000417)". The record is from RNAcentral. Lineage: Eukaryota; Viridiplantae; Streptophyta; Magnoliopsida; Poales; Poaceae.
CACUCUUUUAAACCACAACAUGUAUGCGUAUCUAUGUCAAAUAAUCGAAUUCCAUCUUGUUGGUGACCUAAGUAAAAAACCAAAGAUAGUACAAACAUGAUCCUACAAAUGAAAUGAACAUGGAGCAUAUGUAACACGAUUAUUUACAUGGUAAAACAAUGAAAUCUUAAGUUCCUGCAAUAGCAAAGAAGAACCGCACAAUGACCAAGGAUGAGGGUACCAAAGUGCCGAUCAACCGUAAUAAUGAUUAAGCAUCUGACGAAACUUAACCAACUCUCAAGUCAUUAAGGGAUGGUGAGAUGAAAC